UACGGGGGGGGCAAGCGUUGUUCGGAAUUACUGGGCGUAAAGGGCUCGUAGGUGGCCAACUAAGUCAGACGUGAAAUCCCUCGGCUUAACCGGGGAACUGCGUCUGAUACUGGAUGGCUUGAGUUUGGGAGAGGGACGCGGAAUUUCAGGUGUAGCGGUGAAAUGCGUAGAUAUCUGGAGGAACACCGGUGGCGAAGGCGGCGUCCUGGACCAACACUGACACUGAUGAGCGAAAGCCAGGGGAGCAAACGGG
This 253-nucleotide ribosomal RNA is filed under the name uncultured bacterium. RNAcentral's name for it is "partial 16S ribosomal RNA". It matches the Rfam family "Bacterial small subunit ribosomal RNA", at positions 524 to 776 of the family's 1533-position model. The record is from RNAcentral.